GACGAACGCUGGCGGCGUGCUUAACACAUGCAAGUCGAACGGAAAGGCCCUGCUUUUGUGGGGUGCUCGAGGGGCGAGCGGGUGUGUAACGCGUGAGUAACCUGCCCUUGACUUUGGGAUAACUUCAGGAAACGGGGGCUAAUACGGGAUAGGAGCCCCUGCUGCAUGGGGGGGUGGGAAAAUUUUGGGCGGGUGGGGGUGGCCGCGCGGCUUACCAGCUUGUUGGGGGGGUAGUGGCUUACCAGGGCUUUGCCGGGUAGCCGGCGUGGGAGGGUGACCGGCCACUUUGGGACUGGGUUCGGGCCCGGCCUCCACCGGGGGCCAGAGGUGGGGAAUUUUGCCAAAUGGGCGGAGCCCUGUUGCGGAACCCCCGCGGGCGGGAUGCCGGCCUUCGGUUUGUAACCGGCUUUCGCCUGUGCCGAGGCGUGAGUGACGGUAAUGGGUAAAGAAGCACCGGCUAACUACGUG
RNAcentral lists this ribosomal RNA (468 nucleotides) under uncultured bacterium. Its description in RNAcentral is "partial 16S ribosomal RNA". It matches the Rfam family "Bacterial small subunit ribosomal RNA", at positions 28 to 507 of the family's 1533-position model. The record is from RNAcentral.